Molecule: ribosomal RNA, 883 nt
Filed under: uncultured Bacteroidota bacterium
Lineage: Bacteria; Pseudomonadati; Bacteroidota
Description: bacterial SSU rRNA
Rfam family: Bacterial small subunit ribosomal RNA
Source: RNAcentral
CAGCAGCCGCGGUAAUACGGAGGGUCCAAGCGUUAUCCGGAUUCAUUGGGUUUAAAGGGUACGUAGGCGGAGCUUUAAGUCAGUAGUGAAAGCCCAUCGCUCAACGAUGGAACUGCUAUUGAUACUGGAACUCUUGAAUAUAGUUGAAGUAGGCGGAAUACGGCAUGUAGCGGUGAAAUGCAUAGAUAUGCCGUGGAACACCAAUCGCGAAGGCAGCUUACUAAGCUAUUAUUGACGCUAAUGUACGAAAGCGUGGGGAGCGAACAGGAUUAGAUACCCUGGUAGUCCACGCUGUAAACGAUGAUUACUCGGUGUCGGCGAUAUACUGUCGGUGCCUAAGCGAAAGUGAUAAGUAAUCCACCUGGGGAGUACGAUCGCAAGGUUGAAACUCAAAGGAAUUGACGGGGGCCCGCACAAGCGGUGGAGCAUGUGGUUUAAUUCGAUGAUACGCGAGGAACCUUACCUGGGCUUAAAUGCAUAAUGACAGGCUGAGAAAUCAGUUUUUCUUCGGACAGAAUGCAAGGUGCUGCAUGGCUGUCGUCAGCUCGUGCUGUGAGGUGUCGGGUUAAGUCCCAUAACGAGCGCAACCCCUAUUGCUAGUUGCCAGCACAUAAUGGUGGGGACUCUAGCAAAACUGCCCGCGCAAGCGGUGAGGAAGGUGGGGACGACGUCAAGUCAUCACGGCCCUUACGUCCAGGGCUACACACGUGCUACAAUGGUAGAGACAGAGGGCAGCCACUUGGUGACAAGGAGCUAAUCCUUAAACUCUAUCUCAGUUCGGAUUGAAGUCUGCAACUCGACUUCAUGAAGCUGGAAUCGCUAGUAAUCGGAUAUCAGCCGCGAUCCGGUGAAUACGUUCCCGGGCCUUGUACACACCGCCCGU